AGGCAGCAGUGGGGAAUAUUGGACAAUGGGCGAAAGCCUGACGCAGCGACGCCGCGUGAGUGAUGAAGGCCUUCGGGUUGUAAAGCUCUGUGGGGAGAGACGAAUAAGUAGGGGUUAAUACCCCCUGCGAUGACGGUAUCUCCUUAGCAAGCACCGGCUAACUCUGUGCCAGCAGCCGCGGUAAGACAGAGGGUGCAGACGUUGUUCGGAAUUACUGGGCGUAAAGCGUGUGUAGGCGGCUUUGCAAGUCGGAUGUGAAAGCCCCGGGCUCAACCCGGGAAGUGCACUCGAUACUGCAGAGCUUGAGUGUCGGAGAGGUUGGUGGAAUUCUCGGUGUAGAGGUGAAAUUCGUAGAUAUCGAGAGGAACACCGGCGGCGAAGGCGGCCAACUGGACGAACACUGACGCUGAGACACGAAAGCGUGGGGAGCAAACAGGAUUAGAUACCCUGGUAG
This 454-nucleotide ribosomal RNA is filed under the name uncultured bacterium. Its description in RNAcentral is "bacterial SSU rRNA". It matches the Rfam family "Bacterial small subunit ribosomal RNA", at positions 346 to 793 of the family's 1533-position model. The record is from RNAcentral.